CCUUUAAGUAGGUGAUAAUUUAACAACUACAUUAAUCAAAUGUAAGGAAAUGAAAACUGCACGCUACUCUGUUACAGGGAUUCAGUAAUAUCUCAAAUCAGAUUAAUAUUUGAAAGUUCUAGUGUCAAAUAAGGAAAAUAAGACAUUCAAGAGUAUUAACUGAAAAAACACUGGCAGCCCAAAAGUAUGGGCCUUUUGUGUCACAACUUUAUCUAAUGAUGUCAGGGACAGCAGGUAAAUGGAACACUGAUGUCACAGUGAUAGGCUCUAGAAUGUUAAAGUAGAACACAUAGAGACAUGUUGUCAGUUGUAUGAGCAAGGAGUUGAGAGUACACACAUAAACUUUUAAGCAGCAGUUUUUGAGACAUUGAGACUUUUCAUAUAUCUUGUAAGAACUAUUGAGUCCCCUUUCAGGAUUUCCACAAUGGACCGACUUAGUGAGGAUCUGAGAGCAGCCCUGAGUAAAACCAUAGCAUAUGAGCUGGAACUGGUUCUUGCUGAAAUGGCUGAGGAGGCACAGUACAAGGAGCAAGCCAUGAGGGUGACUCUGGAAAAGCUUCUACAGGACAUCACAGAGCUUGAGGACUCCGGGGAGACAGAGAAACAGGAGUGGCAAAGAGAGAGA
Molecule: long non-coding RNA, 625 nt
Organism: Clupea harengus (Atlantic herring)
Lineage: Eukaryota; Metazoa; Chordata; Actinopteri; Clupeiformes; Clupeidae
Exons: 2
Source: RefSeq, a predicted model, not a curated record